This 141-nucleotide small nuclear RNA is filed under the name Aotus nancymaae (Ma's night monkey). RNAcentral's name for it is "U4 spliceosomal RNA (ENSANAG00000007141.1)". It matches the Rfam family "U4 spliceosomal RNA". Rfam says of the family: U4 small nuclear RNA (U4 snRNA) is a component of the major U2-dependent spliceosome. The record is from Rfam by way of RNAcentral. Lineage: Eukaryota; Metazoa; Chordata; Mammalia; Primates; Aotidae.
AGCUUUGCGCAGUGGCAAUAUCAUAGCCAAUGAGAUUUAUCCGAGGCGCGAUUAUUGCUAAUUGAAAACUUUUCCCAAUACCCCGCCAUGACGACUUGCAAUACAGUCGGCCCUGGCAAUUUUUGACAGUCUCUACGGAGA